AGUCUGAUGGUGCUACGCCGCGUGGAGGAUGACGGUCCUAGGAUUGUAAACUCCUGUCAUUGGGGAGUAAGACUUAUGCGUUAAGAGCGUGUAAGUUUGAUAGUACCCAAAGAGGAAAGGACGGCUAAU
Molecule: ribosomal RNA, 129 nt
Filed under: uncultured bacterium
Lineage: Bacteria
Description: partial 16S ribosomal RNA
Rfam family: Bacterial small subunit ribosomal RNA
Source: RNAcentral